GAUGAACGCUAGCAGCAGGCCUAACACAUGCAAGUCGAGGGGUAGAGUUCUUCGGGACUUGAGACCGGCGCACGGGUGCGUAACGCGUAUGCAAUCUACCUUAUACAGGGGAAUAGCCCAGAGAAAUUUGGAUUAAUGCCCCAUAGUGUUAUCGAAUCGCAUGGUUUGAUAACUAAAGUUCCAAACGGUAUAAGAUGAGCAUGCGUCCAUUAGUUAGUUGGUAAGGUAACGGCUUUACCAAGACAAUGAUGGGUA
This 255-nucleotide ribosomal RNA is filed under the name uncultured bacterium. Its description in RNAcentral is "partial 16S ribosomal RNA". It matches the Rfam family "Bacterial small subunit ribosomal RNA", at positions 28 to 285 of the family's 1533-position model. The record is from RNAcentral.